Molecule: long non-coding RNA, 1734 nt
Organism: Zea mays
Lineage: Eukaryota; Viridiplantae; Streptophyta; Magnoliopsida; Poales; Poaceae
Exons: 4
Source: RefSeq, a predicted model, not a curated record
CCAUUCCUCAUCCCCAUCCAUGGCACCACCUUCUGUUCUCCUCCGCGCCACAUCCGCCUCCUUCACUUCGGCUCCUAAGUUCGAUCUCCACAUCACCACAUAUGGUGUCUAUACCGCAACCGUGUCACCUUCAACCCUCCAACGAGGCUCCACUCUGCCAGACCACCUCACAGCGUCGAUUUCUGUCCAUGGCCUCGUGGUGCCAGAGCCUGUGCAGUCAUCAUCGGCCUGCUGGUGCCUAUGUUGUGAUGAUGAUGGUUGCUGCCGAUGUGGUGCCAGAGCAGGUGCGACCCUCGACGCUGGUUAGCAAAUGGGAUCUUUCCUUCCGUGAAUCCUUUUUCAGAAAUCAUUUUUUGUGGUUGCCCUUUAAUGUUUCUUUGUGUCUUUAAUUUCAUUCAUCAUUUUUUGUUGUUAGGUCUAGUUUUGAUGUCCUAUGUUUUUUAGGUCUGAAUCUCAGUUUAGAUACGAAUUGCUACUCUAUGUAUGCUACUUUAUGCUACUACCCGUUAGUGCUUUUGAUCUCUUUAUUUGUGUGGUACUUCUAUAGAUCUUAUCUUUUUUUAUAUGACUGAUAAUGAUAGUAUACUCAGUAUCAAAGAAUAUAGUUUUUGAAUUGUGUUUUUUGCUAGGUACGACAUCGCUUGUUGGCAUUCAUUUCACAGUUUGUACCAGGUUUUGUGCUCUGCUCAUACUGCAUAGUACACUAGUACUGUCUUUUUCGUGAGGUGGUUUAAAUCUGUAGGAUAACUAGAUAAGUUGUUGGUUUGCUUCUGCCUCUUGAUUUAAAUUCCUCGGUCAUUAUUUGAUCCAAUGUGGUGGGCUCUGAGCUUGCCUCACUCUUCUGUUGGGUGAUUUAUUAAGCCGUUGACAUGUUUUGCAAUUGUUUUUAUUCUUGUUCAGCACUUUGUCUAAUUCAGCGUAAGCAAAUUAGUAAUGAAAUAUGAGGUUCUUGAUGCAGACUCUGUUCAGAAAAUUUCUUUUCUAGAAACAUGUUUUUUGUUAACAAUUAUAUCCAUUUUAUACUAAAAAACCUUUCCAUUCUGCUCAUAAUAAUACUUUCUUAGUACCAUUUCAUGAACUAGGAUUUGUUUGUAAGAUGCUUUGUAGAUCUACAACUACCACUCAAUUUAUGAGAUUAUUUGUAAACUUCAUUCAGUUAUGUCUUAUGCUCAAAUGUUUUUGCCUUUUUCACAAGUUGAAGAGCACAAGUGCCUGAAUUCUGAGUUGUGGCAUGCAUGUGCCGGCUCUCUUGUUUCAUUGCCUGCGAUCGAUAGUCGAGUGAUGUAUUUUCCUCAAGGCCACGGUGAGCAGGGGUAGAGAUGGACCAUCUUCAUCUGGUCUAAAUUCCAAGGCUUGUCAUGAAAAAAUGAGGGACAAGUUGAAUGACAGGUUCCUAGAAUUAAGUUCAAUUUCAUAUCACAUUAUCAUUUGCAGCGGGCGCGACACGUGAGCGAGCGAGCAUGCGGUUGUGCGGGUGUGCGAGGUGCACGGGCGAUGACGCAGCGCUCUACAAUACAUGCGAGCAUCAACAAACGAUCUUUGCAUUGGUUUGUGCAUCAAGAAUACUUUUUAUCAGAGUUCACUCGAGGAAUGCAAGAAUUAGGAUAGCCAAUUAGAUCUUUUUUAUUGGUGUAUCCUGAGUUUCCUCUAAUAAGGAUCCUGAGUUUCCUCUAAUAAGGAUCCUAUGUCACCAGUUGGGUCAAUUUUACUAAACAUUUUUUGCCAUCAUCCUUA